Molecule: long non-coding RNA, 1952 nt
Organism: Pan troglodytes (chimpanzee)
Lineage: Eukaryota; Metazoa; Chordata; Mammalia; Primates; Hominidae
Source: Ensembl
CUGCAGAGUGUGAAAAUCUCAUCAGAUUAAGGAACACAAAGACAUCUUUUUCAUAUUUUGAAUGUAAAACUGUUUUGGAAACUGUUAUUUUUAGAAACAGUUAAAAACAUUGUUUCAUUAGUUUUUCAUGUAAAAUUGUAACAACCAGCAUGAAAUACCUGUCAUCACAGAAGCAUGGUAUAUUGGAUUCCGAAACAUAUUCUUUGUAAGUUUUAAUAUAUUUAUGUAUUAUUUAUACUUAAUUGUAACCCAUAAUGUACAGAUAUUAUUUUUCCUUCAACUCUUAAGAAUAUUCUUAAAUAAUAAAACUAAAAUUAAUGAAUUAUAAUUUUUGUUGGUUGGGAAAAAGACACACGUGACAGUGCAUCACUUCACCUCAUCACCUCAUCAUUUCAUCUCAUCAUUUCAUCUCAUCAUUUCAUCUCAUCAUUUUAUCUCAUCAUUUCAUCUUAUCCCAUCUCAUCUCAUCAUUUCAUAUCAUCUCAUCUCAUCAUUUCAUCAAAUCUCAUUUCAUGUCAUUUCCAUUUCAUUUUCAUUAUUUCAUUUCAUCAUUUCAUUUCACUAUUUCAUUUCAUUUCAUCUAAUUUCAUUUAUUUCAUUGUCAUUUCAUAUCAUCUCAUUUCAUGUCAUUUUUGAUAUCAUUUUUCAUAUCAUUUUUCAUCUCAUUUCAUCUCAAUUCAUCUCAUCAUUUCAUCUCAUCUCAUGAUUUCCUCCUUUCUUUUCAACAUUUCAUCUCAUUUCUUCUCAUCUCAUUUCAAUUUUAUUUCAUUAUUUCAUCUCAUUUCAUUAUUUCACCUAAUUUCAUUAUUUCAUCUCAUCUCAAUUCAUCUCAUCAUUUCAUCUCAUCAUUCAUCUCAUCAUUUCAUAUCAUCAUUUUAUCUCAUCUCAUCAUUUCAUCUCAUUUCAUCUCAUCUCAUUCCAUCAUUACAUCCCAUUUCAUCUCAUUUUAUGUCAUCAUUUCAUGUCAUCAUUUCAUCAAAUCUCAUCUCAUCAUUUCAUCUCAUUUCAUCAUUUCAUCUCAUUUCAACUCAUUGCAUCUCAUCUCAUCAUUUCCGUUUCAUUAUUCCAUUUCAUCAUUUCAUUCAUUAUGUCAUUUCAUCUCAUCAUAUUUCAUCUCAUCUCAUCAUUUCAUCUCAUUUUAUCUCAUCUCAUCAUUUCAUCAUUUCAUCUCAUUUCUUCUCAUCUCAUCAUUUCCAUUUCAUUUUCAUUUCAUUAUUUCAUUAUUUCAUCUCAUUUCAUUAUUUCAUUUCAUCUCAUUACAUUUCAUCUCAUUUCAUCUCAUCAUUUCAUCCAUCAUUUCAUCAUUUCAUCUCAUCUCAUCUCAUUAUCUCAUUUCAUCUCAUUAUUUCAUCUCAUUUCAUCUCAUUUCAUCAUUUCAUUUCAUCAUUACAUCUCAUUUCAACUCAUCUCAUUUCAAUUUCAUUUCAAUUUCAUCAUUACAUUUCAUAAUUUCCUUUCAUUAUUUCAUUUCAUUUCAUCUCAUUUCAUUAUUCCAUUUCAUCUCAUUUUUCAUCUCAUCAUUUUUCAUCUCAUUUCAUCAUUUCAUCUCAUCGUUCAUCUCAUUUCAUCUCAUCAUUUUAUCUCAUUAUUUCAUCCCAUAUCAUCUCAUUUCAAUUUCAUUAUUUCAUAUCAUUUCAUUAUUUCAUUUCAUCUCACCAUUUCAUCUCGUUUCAUCUCAUCAUUUCAUCCAUCAUCUCAUCAUUUCAUCUCAUUUUAUCUCAUCUCCUCUCCUUUCAAUUUCUUUUCAAUUUUGUCAUUUCGUCUCAUCAUUUCAUCUCAUCAUUUCUACUCACCAUUUCAUCUCAAAAUUUCAUCUCAUCAUCUCAUCUCAUCGCAUCAUUUCGUCAUUUCAUCUCAUCAUUUCAUCUCAAGUCAUCUUAUCAUUUCAUCUAAGUGAAAUGAUGUAAUGGAAUCAUGAAAUGAAAUGGAUAAGAUGCCUUCAGUGAUGUUAA